GUGAGGAAUAUUGGUCAAUGGGCGAAAGCCUGAACCAGCCAUGUCGCGUGAAGGAUGAAGGUCCUAUGGAUUGUAAACUUCUUUUGCAGGAGGGUAAAGUGAGCUACGUGUAGUUCAUUGCAAGUACCCUGCGAAUAAGCAUCGGCUAACUCCGUGCCAGCAGCCGCGGUAAUACGGAGGAUGCGAGCGUUAUCCGGAUUUAUUGGGGUUAAAGGGUGCGUAGGCGGACUAAUUAGUCAGCGGUGAAAUUUUGCGGCUCAACCGUAAAACUGCCGUUGAAACUGUUAGUCUUGAGUGCGGUAGAGGUAGGCGGAAUGUGUGGUGUAGCGGUGAAAUGCUUAGAUAUCACACAGAACACCGAUUGCGUAGGCAGCUUACUGGAGCGCAACUGACGCUGAGGCACGAAAGCGUGGGGAUCGAACAGGAUUAGAUACCCUUGUAGUCC
RNAcentral lists this ribosomal RNA (445 nucleotides) under uncultured bacterium. RNAcentral's name for it is "partial 16S ribosomal RNA". It matches the Rfam family "Bacterial small subunit ribosomal RNA", at positions 354 to 796 of the family's 1533-position model. The record is from RNAcentral.